Molecule: ribosomal RNA, 468 nt
Filed under: uncultured bacterium
Lineage: Bacteria
Description: partial 16S ribosomal RNA
Rfam family: Bacterial small subunit ribosomal RNA
Source: RNAcentral
GACGAACGCUGGCGGCGUGCUUAACACAUGCAAGUCGAACGGAAGGGCCCUGCUUUUGUGGGGUGCUCGAGUGGCGAGCGGGUGAGUAACACGUGAGUAUCCUGCCCUGGACUUUGGGAUAACUUCAGGCAACUGGGGCUAAUACCGGAUAGGAGCGCCUGCUGGAGGGUGGGGGUUGGACAGUUUCGGCGGUUGGGGAUGGACUCGCGGCUUAUCAGCUUGUUGGUGGGGGAGUGGCUUACCAAGGCUUUGACGGGUAGCCGGCCUGAGAGGGUGACCGGCAACAUUAGGACUAAGAUACGCCCCAGACGCCUACGGGGGGCAGAAGGCGGGAGUAUUGCCCAAUGGGCGGGCGCCUGAUGCAGAAGCGCCGCGUGCGUGAUGACGGCCUUGGGGUUGUAAACCGCUUUCGCCUGUGACGAAGCGGGAGUGACGGUACUGGGUAAAGAAGCACCGGCUAACUACGUG